AAUUACGGAGGAAAAGAAACUUACAAGAUUUCCCCUAGUAACCGCGACGAAGCGGGAAGAGCUCAAAUUUAUAAUCUGGCACCUUCGGUGUCCGAGUUGUAAUCUCUAGAAAUGUUUUCCGCGUUGGACCGCACACAAGUCUGUUGGAAUACAGCGGCAUAGUGGUGAGACCCCCGUAUAUGGUGCGGACGCCCAGCGCUUUGUGAUACAUUUUCGAAGAGUCGAGUUGUUUGGGAAUGCAGCUCAAAUUGGGUGGUAAAUUCCAUCUAAAGCUAAAUAUUGGCGAGAGACCGAUAGCGAACAAGUACCGUGAGGGAAAGAUGAAAAGCACUUUGGAAAGAGAGUUAACAGUACGUGAAAUUGUUGGAAGGGAAACGCUUGAAGUCAGACUUGCUUGCCGAGCAAUCGGUUUGCAGGCCAGCAUCAGUUUUCCGGGAUGGAUAAUGGUAGAGAGAAGGUAGCAGUUUCGGCUGUGUUAUAGCUCUCUGCUGGAUACAUCUUGGGGGACUGAGUGAACGCAGUGUGGCCUUUGGCGGGGGUUUCGACU
Molecule: ribosomal RNA, 547 nt
Filed under: Rhodotorula mucilaginosa
Lineage: Eukaryota; Fungi; Basidiomycota; Microbotryomycetes; Sporidiobolales; Sporidiobolaceae
Description: eukaryotic LSU rRNA
Rfam family: Eukaryotic large subunit ribosomal RNA
Source: RNAcentral